UACGUAGGGGGCAAGCGUUGUCCGGAAUCAUUGGGCGUAAAGAGCGUGUAGGCGGUUCGGUAAGUCGGCUGUGAAAGUCCAGGGCUCAACCCUGGGAUGCCGGUCGAUACUGCCGGACUAGAGUUCGGAAGAGGCGAGUGGAAUUCCCGGUGUAGCGGUGAAAUGCGUAGAGAUCGGCAGGAACACCCAGGGGGAAACCAGCCGACUGGGCAAGUGCUGACGCUGAGGUGCGAGAGCGUGGGGAGCGAACCGG
RNAcentral lists this ribosomal RNA (253 nucleotides) under uncultured bacterium. Its description in RNAcentral is "partial 16S ribosomal RNA". It matches the Rfam family "Bacterial small subunit ribosomal RNA", at positions 524 to 776 of the family's 1533-position model. The record is from RNAcentral.